Molecule: non-coding RNA, 75 nt
Organism: Myotis lucifugus (little brown bat)
Lineage: Eukaryota; Metazoa; Chordata; Mammalia; Chiroptera; Vespertilionidae
Source: Rfam
GGUAGUUCUCAAGUGACACACCCUGGAAUCGGGCUCCCUCCCCUCUGGUUCCAGGUGUGUCACCUGAGAACCGCA